GCCGCGUGUGUGAAGAAGGCCUUAGGGUUGUAAAGCACUUUCAGUCGUGACGAUGAUGACGGUAACGACAGAAGAAGCCCCGGCUAACUCCGUGCCAGCAGCCGCGGUAAUACGGAGGGGGCAAGCGUUGUUCGGAAUUACUGGGCGUAAAGGGCGCGUAGGCGGCCAAGUCAGUCAGGCGUGAAAGCCCAGGGCUCAACCCUGGAAUUGCGCUUGAUACUGCUUGGCUCGAGACCGGAAGAGGGUAGUGGAAUUC
This 256-nucleotide ribosomal RNA is filed under the name uncultured Alphaproteobacteria bacterium. Its description in RNAcentral is "partial 16S ribosomal RNA". It matches the Rfam family "Bacterial small subunit ribosomal RNA", at positions 396 to 669 of the family's 1533-position model. The record is from RNAcentral. Lineage: Bacteria; Pseudomonadati; Pseudomonadota; Alphaproteobacteria.